This is a long non-coding RNA of Dermochelys coriacea (leatherback sea turtle), 423 nucleotides long. RefSeq lists it as uncharacterized. NCBI's taxonomy places the organism in Eukaryota, Metazoa, Chordata, Testudines, Dermochelyidae. The transcript is spliced from 3 exons. The record is from RefSeq and is a predicted model, not a curated record.
GGAGACAUGGCUUGUUGGGAGCUGUUCUCAGUCUCCUGUUUCCCUCCCGGUUGGUGGAGGAGCUGCAUGAGGAAUGGGAGAAUGGAGAGGAAAAGCCUGGACCCAAAUGGCUUCUGUGUGAAACCAGAUAAGAAGAACUAAUGCAAAUCCUGGCUCAACCUGUCUACAUCAGGCCUGGCCACGAUGGCUGAAACUGGAGCAAAUGUAGAGACCCAGCCUGAGAGCGAGGGAGGGAGAAAACACAGGAAGCUGUUUCUAAGCAAACAAGCCCUUUUAUUGCUUCAGAAUGUGAUACUCCCGGACAUAAACAGUGAACAUCUCGCAAAGUCUUCAGAUCCUAACACUUAAAAUUCUCGUCUCCUGCCUCCCCCGAGAAAUAAUAUUAAGCAUGAGAAGAGAGUUUCAAAUAACAAUUAAACAUUU